RNAcentral lists this ribosomal RNA (427 nucleotides) under uncultured bacterium. RNAcentral's name for it is "partial 16S ribosomal RNA". It matches the Rfam family "Bacterial small subunit ribosomal RNA", at positions 355 to 774 of the family's 1533-position model. The record is from RNAcentral.
UGGGGAAUAUUGGACAAUGGGCGAAAGCCUGAUCCAGCCAUGCCGCGUGUGUGAAGAAGGUCUUCGGAUUGUAAAGCACUUUAAGUUGGGAGGAAGGGCAUUAACCUAAUACGUUAGUGUUUUGACGUUACCGACAGAAUAAGCACCGGCUAACUCUGUGCCAGCAGCCGCGGUAAUACAGAGGGUGCAAGCGUUAAUCGGAAUUACUGGGCGUAAAGCGCGCGUAGGUGGUUUGUUAAGUUGGAUGUGAAAUCCCCGGGCUCAACCUGGGAACUGCAUUCAAAACUGACUGACUAGAGUAUGGUGGAGGGUGGUGGAAUUUCCUGUGUAGCGGUGAAAUGCGUAGAUAUAGGAAGGAACACCAGUGGCGAAGGCGACCACCUGGACUAAUACUGACACUGAGGUGCGAAAGCGUGGGGAGCAAACA